Andrographis paniculata is the source of this 97-nucleotide small nucleolar RNA. RefSeq annotates it as small nucleolar RNA snoR26. NCBI's taxonomy places the organism in Eukaryota, Viridiplantae, Streptophyta, Magnoliopsida, Lamiales, Acanthaceae. The transcript has a single exon. The record is from RefSeq and is a predicted model, not a curated record.
UGAGCAUCGACGAUGAGCCAAAACUAAAUCGUUAUCCUUGCACUUUGAUUGCCAGUGAAGAAAGCCUACGGGGAAUUUAUUAUUUUCUGAGAUGCUC